Molecule: ribosomal RNA, 363 nt
Filed under: Triticum aestivum (bread wheat)
Lineage: Eukaryota; Viridiplantae; Streptophyta; Magnoliopsida; Poales; Poaceae
Description: partial small subunit ribosomal RNA
Source: RNAcentral
AUGGAAAUGAGUGGCAAUUCGGACACGGUGCAGAAAAAGGGUGCAUCUGAUACAACACAAGCAUUCGUUCUUGGGCGGUCGUUCUCGGUGGUUAUACCUUCGAAGCGUGAAAAUGGGACAGUUCUUGUUCGGUGCAAAGUAGAGGAAGUAGACGUUCUCGGGACAGUCGAAGUCGCGGUACAUGUUCGGGAAGCGGUAGAGGUACGGAUCUUCGACAACGGUCGUCGUACACGUUCUGAGGUCGUCGGUAGAGUUUCUUGCGAUCUCGGCGAUGGUAGUGGUACAUGUCAUCGGUACUCGAACUUAGCGAUCCGAAGGGGUACUUGGCGAACAACGGUCGUCAAAGUACUUGUUGGUCCAUGA